ACCCAGCUGGCUCAGUUGGAGGAGCCACGUGACUCUUACUCUCUGGGGCGUGAGUUCAAGCCCCACGUUGGGUA
This 74-nucleotide transfer RNA is filed under the name Ailuropoda melanoleuca (giant panda). It matches the Rfam family "tRNA". From Rfam's summary of the family: Transfer RNA (tRNA) molecules are approximately 80 nucleotides in length. Their secondary structure includes four short double-helical elements and three loops (D, anti-codon, and T loops). Further hydrogen bonds mediate the characteristic L-shaped molecular structure. tRNAs have two regions of fundamental functional importance: the anti-codon, which is responsible for specific mRNA codon recognition, and the 3' end, to which the tRNAs corresponding amino acid is attached (by aminoacyl-tRNA synthetases). tRNAs cope with the degeneracy of the genetic code in two manners: having more than one tRNA (with a specific anti-codon) for a particular amino acid; and 'wobble' base-pairing, i.e. permitting non-standard base-pairing at the 3rd anti-codon position. The record is from Rfam by way of RNAcentral. Lineage: Eukaryota; Metazoa; Chordata; Mammalia; Carnivora; Ursidae.